RNAcentral lists this transfer RNA (76 nucleotides) under bacterium. Its description in RNAcentral is "tRNA-Arg". It matches the Rfam family "tRNA". From Rfam's summary of the family: Transfer RNA (tRNA) molecules are approximately 80 nucleotides in length. Their secondary structure includes four short double-helical elements and three loops (D, anti-codon, and T loops). The record is from RNAcentral.
GUCCCCAUAGUUCAAUUGGAUAGAACGUGGGCGUCCUAAGCCUGUAAUCCUGGUUCAAAUCCGGGUGGGGACACCA